AUCCGCUUUGAGAUGGCCUCGCGUCCGAUUAGCUGGUUGGUGAGGUAACGGCCCACCAAGGCGACGAUCGGUAGCCGGACUGAGAGGUUGAACGGCCACAUUGGGACUGAGACACGGCCCAGACUCCUACGGGAGGCAGCAGUGGGGAAUAUUGCACAAUGGGGGAAACCCUGAUGCAGCGACGCCGCGUGGAGGAAGAAGGUCUUCGGAUUGUAAACUCCUGUUGUUGAGGAAGAAAAGGACGGUACUCAACAAGGAAGUGACGGCUAACUACGUGCCAGCAGCCGCGGUAAAACGUAGGUCACGAGCGUUGUCCGGAAUUACUGGGUGUAAAGGGAGCGCAGGCGGGUAGACAAGUUGGGAGUGAAAUGCAUGGGCUCAACCCAUGAACUGCUCUCAAAACUGUAGAUCUUGAGUAGUGCAGAGGUAGGCGGAAUUCCCGGUGUAGCGGUGGAAUGCGUAGAUAUCGGGAGGAACACCAGUGGCGAAGGCGGCCUACUGGGCACCAACUGACGCUGAGGCUCGAAAGUGUGGGUAGCAAACAGGAUUAGAUACCCUGGUAGUCCACACCGUAAACGAUGAUUACUAGGUGUUGGAGGAUAGACCCCUUCAGUGCCGCAGUUAACACAAUAAGUAAUCCACCUGGGGAGUACGACCGCAAGGUUGAAACUCAAAGGAAUUGACGGGGGCCCGCACAAGCAGUGGAGUAUGUGGUUUAAUUCGACGCAACGCGAAGAACCUUACCAAGUCUUGACAUCCUCUG
This 763-nucleotide ribosomal RNA is filed under the name Faecalibacterium sp. An121. RNAcentral's name for it is "Bacterial small subunit ribosomal RNA". It matches the Rfam family "Bacterial small subunit ribosomal RNA", at positions 213 to 993 of the family's 1533-position model. Lineage: Bacteria; Bacillati; Bacillota; Clostridia; Eubacteriales; Oscillospiraceae. The record is from Rfam by way of RNAcentral.